ACGUAGGGGGCGAGCGUUGUCCGGAAUUACUGGGCGUAAAGAGCACGUAGGCGGAUAUUUAAGUCAGGUGUGAAAGACCGCAGCUCAACUGCGGGGUUGCACUUGAAACUGGAUAUCUUGAGGGCAGGAGAGGUCAGUAGAAUUCCUGGUGUAGCGGUGAAAUGCGUAGAAAUCAGGAGGAAUACCAGUGGCGAAGGCGGCUGACUGGACUGACCCUGACGCUGAGGUGCGAAAGCGUGGGGAGCAAACAGGAUUAGAUACCC
RNAcentral lists this ribosomal RNA (263 nucleotides) under uncultured bacterium. RNAcentral describes it as "partial 16S ribosomal RNA". It matches the Rfam family "Bacterial small subunit ribosomal RNA", at positions 525 to 787 of the family's 1533-position model. The record is from RNAcentral.